UUUGUAUAAUGGGUCAGCGACUUAUAUUCAGUGGCAAGGUUAACCAUCUAGGGGAGCCGUAGGGAAACCGAGUCUUAACUGGGCGUUCAGUCUCUGGAUAUAGACCCGAAACCAGGUGAUCUAGCCAUGGGCAGGUUGAAGGUUGAGUAACAUCAACUGGAGGACCGAACCGACUAAUGUUGAAAAAUUAGCGGAUGACUUGUGGCUAGGGGUGAAAGGCCAAUCAAACCUGGAGAUAGCUGGUUCUCCCCGAAAGCUAUUUAGGUAGCGCCUCGGACGAAUACUACUGGGGGUAGAGCACUGUUAAGGCUAGGGGGUCAUCCCGACUUACCAACCCUUUGCAAACUCCGAAUACCAGUAAGUACUAUCCGGGAGACACACGGCGGGUGCUAACGUCCGUCGUGGAGAGGGAAACAACCCAGACCGCCAGCUAAGGUCCCAAAUUACUACUAAGUGGGAAACGAUGUGGGAAGGCUCAGACAGCCAGGAUGUUGGCUUAGAAGCAGCCAUCAUUUAAAGAAAGCGUAAUAGCUCACUGGUCGAGUCGGCCUGCGCGGAAGAUGUAACGGGGCUAAGUAGUAAACCGAAGCUGCGGCAAUGUGCUUUUGCACAUUGGGUAGGGGAGCGUUCUGUAAGCGGUUGAAGGUGUGUGGUAACGCAUGCUGGACGUAUCAGAAGUGCGAAUGCUGACAUGAGUAACGAUAAAGGGGGUGAAAAACCUCCUCGCCGGAAGACCAAGGGUUCCUGUCCAACGUUAAUCGGGGCAGGGUAAGUCGACCCCUAAGGCGAGGCCGAAAGGCGUAGUCGAUGGGAAACGGGUUAAUAUUCCCGUACUUCUUACAAUUGCGAUGGGGGGACGGAGAAGGCUAGGUGGGCCUGGCGACGGUUGUCCAGGUUCAAGUGCGUAGGCUUAAGAGUUAGGUAAAUCCGGCU
RNAcentral lists this ribosomal RNA (933 nucleotides) under Vibrio parahaemolyticus. Its description in RNAcentral is "partial 23S ribosomal RNA". It matches the Rfam family "Bacterial large subunit ribosomal RNA", at positions 607 to 1547 of the family's 2925-position model. Lineage: Bacteria; Pseudomonadati; Pseudomonadota; Gammaproteobacteria; Vibrionales; Vibrionaceae. The record is from RNAcentral.